RNAcentral lists this long non-coding RNA (906 nucleotides) under Rattus norvegicus (Norway rat). Its description in RNAcentral is "long non-coding RNA NONRATT033827". The record is from RNAcentral. Lineage: Eukaryota; Metazoa; Chordata; Mammalia; Rodentia; Muridae.
CAGACUUUGUUGACCAAUCAAAGCUAAGGGGUGUGGCACCCAUUGUUCAGCAGGUAGAUAAGCAGGGUGCUCAGAGGUCUGGGGCCAGUCCCUGGAAUACCACCAGUAUGGCAGGGGCAGCUAAGAAAGCCACCCGGCCUAGAGCUGAAGCAGCCGCAGGAUCAACCAAGAGAUCAAAGCUUAAAAAGAAGGUCAAACGUAACAAGAAAUGGGGAGCCAUCUCUUCAUCCAUCAAGGAGGACAAAGCUCCAGAGACCCAUCCGUACUACAGUUCAGGAAGAGCUGAGCCCAAGUCAACAAAGCCGACCUACUAGGGCAUAUGCCAUUCAAAUGCGAAUGGAUAAAAAACGCAAUCCCUCAGCCCGGGCGGCAGCGAAGGCAGUUCCACCAUGCCCCAACAUUGCCACUGUUCCUACUCCUAGACGCCGAGUGAACUAGAUCCUAGACACUGAUCUAACAUCAGUGACUGGGUCUGGGAGCUGAGACACAGUCAGGGUGUCAAGUCCAUGUCUCACCACAUACUCAUUUGUAUGAUGGUGACAAUAAAAUCAAUCAGAUGUGAAAAUAUAUAUGUCACUCUCAGUCUUCAAUGGUAUAGAAUGAGAGGGAUUGAGGGAGGGAAGACUGGGAAGAUGAUGAGAAGGAACACCAGUUUCUAGAAGGUUGGGAGCAGGAUGAACCCCCUGAUAGGCAGACAAUGAAUGGUCCAAAUUGAGUUAGCAAAAAUGUCCUCCUAAAACAUUAUUUCACAGGGCAACAGGGAAAACCCAAGGUAUUCCUAAAUGUCACUGGCUAGGGCUGCUUCAUGGUUUCAGGCUAUUACAUCGAUAUCAACUGACAUGUGAGUGGCAGUUCCAGCCCUAAAUUAAGCAGCACCUCAACUUUAGGACCCUUUCUUUCUUGUGG